UACGGAGGAUGCAAGCGUUAUCCGGAAUUAUUGGGCGUAAAGCGUCCGCAGGUGGUUAUCCAAGUCUGCUGUUAAAGCGCGAGGCUUAACUUCGUACAGGCAGUGGAAACUGGGUGACUGGAGUAUGGUAGGGGCAGAGGGAAUUCCUGGUGUAGCGGUGAAAUGCGUAGAGAUCAGGAAGAACAUCGGUGGCGAAGGCGCUCUGCUGGACCAUAACUGACACUCAGGGACGAAAGCUAGGGGAGCGAAUGGG
This 253-nucleotide ribosomal RNA is filed under the name uncultured bacterium. Its description in RNAcentral is "partial 16S ribosomal RNA". It matches the Rfam family "Bacterial small subunit ribosomal RNA", at positions 524 to 776 of the family's 1533-position model. The record is from RNAcentral.